Molecule: long non-coding RNA, 1417 nt
Organism: Lynx canadensis (Canada lynx)
Lineage: Eukaryota; Metazoa; Chordata; Mammalia; Carnivora; Felidae
Exons: 3
Source: RefSeq, a predicted model, not a curated record
AGCCCAUUUUGAGUUAAUAUUUCUCUCUUCAGACAAGUUUAAAAAUCCCACUGAUUUGGAAUAGAUUUGGGAAGAUAAGCUAACUGGCAGUUUCCAGGAACUGAGUUGCUAUUCAACGUCAUAAUAUUUAUCACCAUUUUACUGACUGAUGUUGAUGGUUAGUGAUCUCUCCCAACUAGAAUAAAAGCUUCAUGAAGGCAGAGAUUAUCGUUUCAUUGUUGUCAAUGCUCACUGCUGAUGCUCAGCACAAGGUUUUGAUAAUAACUGAUGGUUAUACGGUACUUACUAUGUGCUUUGUAACUAGGAUGACUAUGUAAUUCAUAUUCCGAACCGUGACGCUUUUUAGAUCAAAUGGAAGGCCCUAUUAAUAAUUAUGCCAAGACAAUAGGAAUAAUCAAGAAUGUCCUGGGCAAAGUAGGACUCACAGUUACUCUGCGUGUUACUGCUCUACACCAACUAUAUGCGUGUUUUACGGAUAUUUCGUUUGCUCCACAUUACAGCACUUGAGGGGAUUACUGUUCUCCCUGUCUUACAGAUGAGAUCCGUACAGUUGUUAUCCCCAUUUUACAAAUGAGGAAGCCGUGACUUAGAAAGACUAACUAAUUUAGUUUCAAGUUCUCUCCAUCAGGACACGCUGAAGAGAGAUGAGCCCGUCUUUUUUCCCCAUAACGAAGCAUGUAACUCGCUUCUGGAAGCUGCCUGUAUUCCUUGGCUUAUAAGCCCUAAAGGGAAUUUUCAAUAUCGUUCCCACUAAAGAGGAAGAACAUGGUGAAUUUUGGAAAGUCCAUGAACCUUGGAGCCAGACCCUGCAUUUAGGCUAUGUAAUCUCACUUGGUUUUCUCAUUAAAGGUCUCUUUCUUCACUUAUGAAAAUGAUGAUGAAAAGCUUGCCAUGACCCUAGCUGAGCGAGGAACAUUAAUACCACCAGUGAUAGACAUCAGCGUUAAGUUCUCCUUGAUAUGGUGCACUGAGAAGUACAUUACCUCUGCAGCAUCCCUCCUAACCGUGCAUAGCCUCGAUCUCAUAGUGAGAAAUCACCGGAGAAGCCCACCCUUAACUGAUGGGCACCCUUCAAAAAAUGUCAGAGUCAUAAAGACAAAGAAGAACUGAGGAAUCGUUCCAGGUUGGAAGAAAGUAAGGAGAGAGGACAAAACGAAAUCCAGUGCGCAAUCCUGGAUUGGAUCCUUGGGCAGAGAAACAGUGGAAAAACGGGUGAAAUUCGAACAAGCUUUGAAUUUAGUUAAUAGUAUUAGACCAAUAUUAGGAUGUACCAUCAUUUCUUUUGAUAAAUAUCUGAUGGUUCUGUAAGAUAUUAACAUAAACAGAAGUUGGGUAAAGGGUAUACAGGGACUCUGUUCUGUUUUUGCAAUUUAUAAAAAAAAAAAAAGUCUAAAGGUAUCUUUUUAAAAAGCCUAUC